UCCCAAACCCAAUGUGAACCAUACCAAACUGUUGCCUCGGCGGGGUCACGCCCCGGGUGCGUCGCAGCCCCGGAACCAGGCGCCCGCCGGAGGGACCAACCAAACUCUUUUCUGUAGUCCCCUCGCGGACGUUAUUUCUUACAGCUCUGAGCAAAAAUUCAAAAUGAAUCAAAACUUUCAACAACGGAUCUCUUGGUUCUGGCAUCGAUGAAGAACGCAGCGAAAUGCGAUAAGUAAUGUGAAUUGCAGAAUUCAGUGAAUCAUCGAAUCUUUGAACGCACAUUGCGCCCGCCAGUAUUCUGGCGGGCAUGCCUGUCCGAGCGUCAUUUCAACCCUCGAACCCCUCCGGGGGGUCGGCGUUGGGGAUCGGGAACCCCUAAGACGGGAUCCCGGCCCCGAAAUACAGUGGCGGUCUCGCCGCAGCCUCUCCUGCGCAGUAGUUUGCACAACUCGCACCGGGAGCGCGGCGCGUCCACGUCCGUAAAACACCCAACUUCUGAAAUGUUGACCUCGGAUCAGGUAGGAAUACCCGCUGAACUUAAGCAUAUCAAUAAGCCGAA
Molecule: ribosomal RNA, 560 nt
Filed under: cf. Trichoderma sp. 772/LP2
Lineage: Eukaryota; Fungi; Ascomycota; Sordariomycetes; Hypocreales; Hypocreaceae
Description: eukaryotic LSU rRNA
Rfam family: 5.8S ribosomal RNA (bases 173-326)
Source: RNAcentral